RNAcentral lists this transfer-messenger RNA (360 nucleotides) under Serratia symbiotica. It matches the Rfam family "transfer-messenger RNA". From Rfam's summary of the family: Bacterial tmRNA, also known as 10Sa RNA or SsrA, is named for its dual tRNA and mRNA-like properties. Lineage: Bacteria; Pseudomonadati; Pseudomonadota; Gammaproteobacteria; Enterobacterales; Yersiniaceae. The record is from RNAcentral.
GGGGCUGAUUUUGGAUUCGACGUAAUUUUCGAAACUUUAGGAGCAUGCCGAGGGACGGUUGGCCUCGUAAAAAAACCGUAAAAUAUAGUUGCAAACGAUAAAAAUUACGCACUAGCAGCUUAAUAAUCUGUUUAGAGCCCUCUUUCUUAAUUUUUUCUCUUGAAAUAAAAGAAUAUAAGAGGUUCAUUUAAAAAGAGAUCGCAUUAAUAUUUUGCUUAAGAAUAGAAUGUUAAAUUUUAUUAAGCUACUAUAUAAUGAGUAUGUCCAUAUACAAUUUAUAUAAAAUAUAAAAUUGGACUAAGCAUGUAGUUUCCGAUAGUGUAGUAAUUUCGGACGGGGGUUCAAAUCCCCCCAGCUCCA